Molecule: transfer RNA, 77 nt
Filed under: [Clostridium] ultunense Esp
Lineage: Bacteria; Bacillati; Bacillota; Tissierellia; Tissierellales; Tepidimicrobiaceae
Description: tRNA-Arg
Rfam family: tRNA
About the family: Transfer RNA (tRNA) molecules are approximately 80 nucleotides in length. Their secondary structure includes four short double-helical elements and three loops (D, anti-codon, and T loops). Further hydrogen bonds mediate the characteristic L-shaped molecular structure. tRNAs have two regions of fundamental functional importance: the anti-codon, which is responsible for specific mRNA codon recognition, and the 3' end, to which the tRNAs corresponding amino acid is attached (by aminoacyl-tRNA synthetases). tRNAs cope with the degeneracy of the genetic code in two manners: having more than one tRNA (with a specific anti-codon) for a particular amino acid; and 'wobble' base-pairing, i.e. permitting non-standard base-pairing at the 3rd anti-codon position.
Source: RNAcentral
GUUCCAGUAGCUCAGCUGGAUAGAGCAACAGCCUUCUAAGCUGUGGGCCGGGGGUUCGAAUCCCUCCUGGAACGCCA